This is a non-coding RNA of Triticum aestivum (bread wheat), 135 nucleotides long. The record is from Rfam. NCBI's taxonomy places the organism in Eukaryota, Viridiplantae, Streptophyta, Magnoliopsida, Poales, Poaceae.
CAAAUACUCCCUCCAUCCGGAAAUACUUGUCAUCAAAAUGGAUAAAAGGAAAUGUAUCUAGACGUAUUUUAGUUUUAGAUACAUCUCUUUUUAUCCAUUUUGAUGACAAGUAUUUUCGGACGGAGGGAGUAGAAA